This 253-nucleotide ribosomal RNA is filed under the name uncultured bacterium. Its description in RNAcentral is "partial 16S ribosomal RNA". It matches the Rfam family "Bacterial small subunit ribosomal RNA", at positions 524 to 776 of the family's 1533-position model. The record is from RNAcentral.
AACGUAGGACGCAAGCGUUAUCCGGAGUUACUGGGCGUAAAGGGCGUGUAGGCGGCUUUUCAAGUGGCUCGUGAAAGACUUCGGCUCAACCGGGGGAGGUCGGGUCAGACUGAGAAGCUGGAGGAUGUCAGAGGGACACGGAAUUCCGGGUGUAGUGGUGAAAUGCGUAGAGAUCCGGAGGAACACCAGUGGCGCAGGCGGUGUCCUGGGACGUACCUGACGCUGAGACGCGAAAGCAUGGGGAGCGAACGGG